RNAcentral lists this ribosomal RNA (424 nucleotides) under uncultured bacterium. RNAcentral describes it as "bacterial SSU rRNA". It matches the Rfam family "Bacterial small subunit ribosomal RNA", at positions 917 to 1341 of the family's 1533-position model. The record is from RNAcentral.
GGACCCGCACAAGCGGUGGAUUAUGUGGAUUAAUUCGAUGCAACGCGAAAAACCUUACCUACCCUUGACAUGUAUCGAAACCCGCAGAAAAGCGGGGGUGCCCGAAAGGGAACGAUAACACAGGUGCUGCAUGGCUGUCGUCAGCUCGUGUCGUGAGAUGUUGGGUUAAGUCCCGCAACGAGCGCAACCCUUGUCAUUAAUUGCCAUCAUUUAGUUGGGCACUUUAAUGAGACUGCCGGUGACAAACCGGAGGAAGGUGGGGAUGACGUCAAGUCCUCAUGGCCCUUAUGGGUAGGGCUUCACACGUAAUACAAUGGCGCGUACAGAGGGUUGCCAACCCGCGAGGGGAGCUAAUCUCAGAAAGCGCGUCGUAGUCCGGAUCGGAGUCUGCAACUCGACUCCGUGAAGUCGGAAUCGCUAGUAA